RNAcentral lists this ribosomal RNA (742 nucleotides) under Ammonia sp. Its description in RNAcentral is "SSU rRNA". It matches the Rfam family "Eukaryotic small subunit ribosomal RNA", at positions 1283 to 1759 of the family's 1831-position model. The record is from RNAcentral. Lineage: Eukaryota; Foraminifera; Rotaliida; Rotaliidae.
UAUAUUCGUAUCUUGGUUCGUGACCCCCUUCGGGCGUGUGUUGCAACCGUACGUUAUAUGCACUGGUCUCCGAUAGCAACGAACGUGACCGUACUCUAUUGUUGCAGCGAAUAUAUGUGUCCUUGUGGCGCGUAUUACCGCUGCUUAGUGUGUGUCACAUCCUCGUGGUGUGACCGCACAUUAAACUAUAGAGACCGCUGUUUCUUCUUUAAACCAGAGGAAGGAUACGGCAAUAACAGGUCUGUGAUGCCCUCAGAUGUUCCGGGCUGCACACGUGCUACAAUGAUCAUUGCACUGUGCAUCUAACCCAAUGUGCGUGGACGCCACGUAUUGUAUCCGCUUCGGUGGUUGCAGUACUGUUGGUCGACCACGCCGAACCUACUUCGAAAGUAAACAUUUCUCAGUGGGUAAUCCAUUAGAAGUAAUGACUCGCAUAGACCUUGGUACACUUUAUAUGUACGCGCAGGUUCUACCCGGCCUUGCCUUUGUGUAGGGUGCAGUGCGUAGCUUGUUGUUUUCGUACGUACCACUCCGUAUUAAUUCAUACGUGGGGAUAGAUCAUUGUUUAAUUGUUGGUCUCGGUCUUAACUAGGAAUGCCUUGUACGGGUCUUUGGUUCAACAUACCACCCGGAAUACGUCCCUGCCCUUUGUACACACCGCCCGUCGCUCUUACCGAUGGAUUAUACUAUGAAUCUAUAGGACUGCCAAAGUGACCCUCGCGGCGCUUAGUGGAAAUAUAUA